Molecule: unclassified non-coding RNA, 343 nt
Filed under: soil metagenome
Description: partial contains 5.8S ribosomal RNA, internal transcribed spacer 2, and large subunit ribosomal RNA
Rfam family: 5.8S ribosomal RNA (bases 1-120)
Source: RNAcentral
GAUGAAGAACGUAGCGAAAUGCGAUAAGUAAUGUGAAUUGCAGAAUUCAGUGAAUCAUCGAGUUUUUGAACGCAUAUUGCGCCCUCUGGUAUUCUGGGGGGCAUGCCUGUUCGAGCGUCAUUAAAUAACCCUCAAGCAUAGCUUGGUGUUGGGCUUUUUUACGUCCUUGACUGGGAUGGGCCUAAAAAUUAGUGGCGAUGGCUUUUUUACUUUCAAGCGUAGUAAAUCUCGUCUUGCUAAAGAGGAAAAAGAUUUUUUUUCUGCCAAAAAUUUUAACAUUUAAAGUUGACCUCGGAUCAGGUAGGAUUACCCGCUGAACUUAAGCAUAUCAAUAAGCGGAGGA